GUAGGUGAGGGGGAUCUGGUUGCAACAUCUGUCACCCCACUGAUUGCCAGGGUUGAUUCGGCUAGGCGGGUGUCCCCUCCCUCCCUCACCACUCCAUGUGCAUCCCUCCCGAAGCUGCAAGCUCAGUCGAAGAGGACCACCUUCCCCGAUAGAGGAGGACUGUUCUUCAGUCAAGGGUAUACGAGUAGCUGUGCUCCCCUGCUCGAACCUCCAAACAAGCUCUCAAGGUACCAGUCGGGCUGCUGUGGAGUAAGCAAGGAUAAACGUGGCUGGAGUUGGAGAUGAGCUCAUGUAGAAAAGUUCUGACUUC
RNAcentral lists this small nuclear RNA (310 nucleotides) under Tursiops truncatus (common bottlenose dolphin). RNAcentral describes it as "7SK RNA (ENSTTRG00000023334.1)". The stretch from base 1 to 267 matches the Rfam family "7SK RNA". Rfam says of the family: 7SK was discovered as an abundant small nuclear RNA in the mid-70s but a possible function has only recently been suggested. Two independent studies have found that 7SK RNA binds the CDK9/cyclin T complex (known as elongation factor P-TEFb). P-TEFb activates transcription by phosphorylating the C-terminal domain of RNA polymerase II. Lineage: Eukaryota; Metazoa; Chordata; Mammalia; Artiodactyla; Delphinidae. The record is from RNAcentral.